This is a non-coding RNA of Bactrocera oleae (olive fruit fly), 2146 nucleotides long. NCBI's taxonomy places the organism in Eukaryota, Metazoa, Arthropoda, Insecta, Diptera, Tephritidae. The record is from RefSeq and is a predicted model, not a curated record.
GAAAAAUAUUGUCGAAAUGAAUAAUCUUGUAGAUAUUGAAAAUUCAGAAUUUUAAAAUACUUUACUUUCAAUAAAAAUUAUGAAAAUUGGAAUUUUAACUACUGCAGAACGCUGACAAAAACUGCUGCUCACUACAAACCUAUAGUUUGUAUAUCCUUUAUACUUCUUCGUAGACUACUUCUCCUUUAUACUUCUCGGCGCAAAUGUUAUUUUUUCAUUUAUUUUUAAAAACUAAAGUUGGCCAGAUAAAAUUAGUGUGAUUUUAGUAAACUUCAAAGAAAAGACCAACGGUUAGAACAUACCUUCUGUACUAUACAGUAAAAAAUGACCUUGCAUAUUCAAGCAGCCUUCUAUGCUGUCCUUUCCAUCUAACUUUGUCAACAGAAAAUUAUCUAAUUUGUUCCACCCAACCUUGCCAAUCUAGCCAAUCUUGGAACCAGCUUUAAGUUAAUAAUUGCAUUUGAAAGUUUUUUUGCAUCUUCAACCUACUUGUAUAAUCUCUCCUCCCUCUCUUUAACUUUGACACAUGUCAACCAUUUAAUUGUGAAGUGCUUACAUUCAGGAAGUGACAAAAUGUCAAUGGGCAUUUAAGAGCUUCGUUUAGUGUACUUGAAUAUGCAGAAAUGUACAACAACAUGUAGUUUUGUAGCUACAGACAUAACUAUUUACAACAAAAGUGAAAUAAUGUUAACUUUUCGGCAUACGCUAAACUGUCACUCAAGUGUCUUUCUUUUUGCCCACGCAUGAACUUCGAACGCCUCAAGUGGAGCUACAGCGGCACAGUGUCAAGGCAUUACCCGUUACUACAGAGCUGCGGGCUUAAGCACACCGACACAGUCACGGUCACGCUUAUGAAUUAUCUUUUUUAUUUGUUUUCUUCUUAUUUGUUUGUUUAUCUUUCGGACAUCACAGGCAUUGAAAGGAGCGGUAAGCCUUAUUUACGGAUGGAUCAAAGCUUGUGGAAAUGGUUGGUGGAGAAGUAUACUGUGCGAAUCCACUCAAGCUUCAGGCUUCCCGAUAUUUCCAUGCGGAAGUGGCUGAAAUUAAGGUAGCAGUAGAUAUACUGCUCCGAAGUGCAGCCUUCAGAGUGGUGACCAUCCACUCUGGUCGCUGGAUACUGGAUAUUAGCCGUGAACUCGCUGACCGUACGCUUGAAACUAGUGAAGGAUGUAAGAAGUAAAGAUUCUUAUCUCUGGUAUCGAAUUACUUUAUAAUUAAAAUGGUUUGAAUAACUGGCCAUAGCGGAAUCGUAGGAAACUGUAAGUAAGCUGUAGAGCUUCCUAGAUCAAGUUCUUCUAUUCACAAGUCGUAAAAUGGUUGUUUCGUAAACUGGACUGGAUUAAGACCGUAGAACUGUUGUAAAUGCGAUUCAAGUUUCAUGAAAAUUAUUAAAUGGGUCAUGUAAUUUUGUAGCUGCAACUGCAACUAAAUAGUGUGGCUAAGCGCAGAGAAGAGCGGUGCGAUGUGAAGCUGAUUUCGAACAGCCACAGCGAAACUAUAACGAAUCGAACUAAUCACUAACAAAUUGAUUGAAGUUUUUAUGAGUGAAAAGUAAUUUGGAAAAUCUGCAUGUAGGCACGUUAAAAUUUGUGUAGGCUCUUCAGCACUUAUAAAUGAAGGCAGUAGCAUGCUGGAUAAAUGUAUAUAAGCAUGAAUUAUGAGAAAUUUAUUGGCUGUCUAACGUUGCUACUUGAAAAUAAAAGUUAAGAAGCGGUGGUACUUACCAGCUUUAAGACGGUAAAAAGCUCAAAAAAUGCUUAACGGCUGAAUGUGUUUUAUGGCAUGCCAUGAAAUAAUUUGAUUUAUUGUAACGUUCAAGAGGUGUUUGGCGCUGCGUUGAUGGUUGACUGGAAAAAAAACUGGUUUAAAUUUGUUGCAUCUACAUAAAGGUAGUAAGAUUUUCGGGAAGAAAAUUUGGAUUUAAUAAUGAAGUGUUUUGUUAGACAAAUUAUAGUAUCUUUAAGAUGGGCUAUUGUUUAUGAUUUAUAAAAGGGUUGCAAGUUUUUUGUAAGAAUUUUUUGUAAAAAAAAAAAAAAUAUUGUGUUUUAACUGUUAUAAACUAAAGUUCUGAUAAAAUUAAAAUAAAUAAAAUACAAUAAUAAAUAAAUAAAUAAAUAAAAUUAUUUAAAAAAAAAUACAAAAAAAA